RNAcentral lists this ribosomal RNA (253 nucleotides) under uncultured bacterium. RNAcentral describes it as "partial 16S ribosomal RNA". It matches the Rfam family "Bacterial small subunit ribosomal RNA", at positions 524 to 776 of the family's 1533-position model. The record is from RNAcentral.
UACAGAGGGGGCAAGCGUUAUUCGGAAUUACUGGGCGUAAAGGGCUCGUAGGUGGUCAACUAAGUCGGACGUGAAAUCCCUCGGCUUAACCGGGGAACUGCGUCCGAUACUGGAUGACUUGAGUUCGGGAGAGGGAUGCGGAAUUCCAGGUGUAGCGGUGAAAUGCGUAGAUAUCUGGAGGAACACCGGUGGCGAAGGCGGCAUCCUGGACCGACACUGACGCUGAGGCGCGAAAGCUAGGGGAGCAAACAGG